RNAcentral lists this transfer RNA (66 nucleotides) under Nasonia longicornis. Its description in RNAcentral is "tRNA-Tyr". Lineage: Eukaryota; Metazoa; Arthropoda; Insecta; Hymenoptera; Pteromalidae. The record is from RNAcentral.
AGUAAUAUGUCUGAUUAAAAGUAAUAAAUUGUAAAUUUAUUUAUAGAAUAUUAAUUCUUAUUACUA